CAGCCGCCGCGGGAAAACGAAGGGGGCUAGCGUUGUUCGGAUUUACUGGGCGUAAAGCGCACGUAGGCGGACUUUUAAGUCAGGGGUGAAAUCCCGGGGCUCAACCCCGGAACUGCCUUUGAUACUGGAAGUCUUGAGUAUGGUAGAGGUGAGUGGAAUUCCGAGUGUAGAGGUGAAAUUCGUAGAUAUUCGGAGGAACACCAGUGGCGAAGGCGGCUCACUGGACCAUUACUGACGCUGAGGUGCGAAAGCGUGGGGAGCAAACAGGAUUAGAUACCCCGGUAGUCCCUGUCUCUUAUAC
This 301-nucleotide ribosomal RNA is filed under the name uncultured bacterium. RNAcentral describes it as "partial 16S ribosomal RNA". It matches the Rfam family "Bacterial small subunit ribosomal RNA", at positions 509 to 807 of the family's 1533-position model. The record is from RNAcentral.